RNAcentral lists this ribosomal RNA (440 nucleotides) under uncultured bacterium. RNAcentral describes it as "bacterial SSU rRNA". It matches the Rfam family "Bacterial small subunit ribosomal RNA", at positions 338 to 795 of the family's 1533-position model. The record is from RNAcentral.
CCUACGGGACGCACCAGCGGGGAAUAUUGGACAAUGGGCGCAAGCCUGAUCCAGCCAUGCCGCGUGAGUGAAGAAGGCCUUAGGGUUGUAAAGCUCUUUCACCGGUGAAGAUAAUGACGGUAACCGGAGAAGAAGCCCCGGCUAACUUCGUGCCAGCAGCCGCGGUAAUACGAAGGGGGCUAGCGUUGUUCGGAAUUACUGGGCGUAAAGCGCGCGUAGGCGGAUAGAUAAGUCAGAGGUGAAGUCCCGGGGCUCAACCCCGGAAUUGCCUUUGAUACUGUUUAUCUUGAGUGCGGAAGAGGUGAGUGGAAUUCCGAGUGUAGAGGUGAAAUUCGUAGAUAUUCGGAGGAGCACCAGUGGCGAAGGCGGCUUACUGGUCUGCAACUGACGCUGAGGCGCGAAAGCGUGGGGAGCGAACAGGAUUAGAUACCCCCGUAGUC